GGACUACCCGGGUAUCUAAUCCUGUUUGCUCCCCACGCUUUCGCGCCUCAGCGUCAGUUUCGGUCCAGAGAGCCGCCUUCGCCACCGGUGUUCUUCCCAAUAUCUACGAAUUUCACCUCUACACUGGGAAUUCCACUCUCCUCUCCCGAACUCCAGCAAUGCCGUCCCAAGCGCACCUCCCAGGUUGAGCCCGGGGCUUUCACGCCUGACAAACAUCGCCGCCUACGCGCCCUUUACGCCCAGUAAAUCCGAACAACGCUCGCCCCCUUCGUAUUACCGCGGCUGCUGGCAC
RNAcentral lists this ribosomal RNA (292 nucleotides) under uncultured bacterium. RNAcentral describes it as "partial 16S ribosomal RNA". The record is from RNAcentral.